AUUGAACGCUGGCGGCAGGCUUAACACAUGCAAGUCGAACGGUAAGGCCCUUUCGGGGUACACGAGUGGCGAACGGGUGAGUAACACGUGGGUAAUCUGCCCUGCACUCUGGGAUAAGCCUGGGAAACUGGGUCUAAUACCGGAUAUGAGCCUUCAUCGCAUGGUGGGGGUUGGAAAGUUUUUCGGUGCAGGAUGUGCCCGCGGCCUAUCAGCUUGUUGGUGGGGUAAUGGCCUACCAAGGCGACGACGGGUAGCCGGCCUGAGAGGGUGAUCGGCCACACUGGGACUGAGACACGGCCCAGACUCCUACGGGAGGCAGCAGUGGGGAAUAUUGCACAAUGGGCGGAAGCCUGAUGCAGCGACGCCGCGUGGGGGAUGACGGUCUUCGGAUUGUAAACCCCUUUCAGUAGGGACGAAGCGCAAGUGACGGUACCUGCAGAAGAAGCACCGGCCAACUACGUGCCAGCAGCCGCGGUAA
This 478-nucleotide ribosomal RNA is filed under the name uncultured bacterium. Its description in RNAcentral is "bacterial SSU rRNA". It matches the Rfam family "Bacterial small subunit ribosomal RNA", at positions 28 to 523 of the family's 1533-position model. The record is from RNAcentral.